UGGACAACCUGAUAAUUAUUACGGCAAUGAGAACUGUGCCAUAAUUGUUAAUGGAAAGUUUUAUGAUUUACCCUGUAGCUACCAGUACUAUUUCUUAUGUCAUACCAAUUUCCCAACAAGGAGUCAGAUAAUGAGAUUGCAGGUUCAGUCAGAUGUGAGUGUAUUUGAUCCGUCAUCCAUUUUAGAUCAGAUUAAGCAAAAACUGAAGGAAAAUAGCAUGUUGCAGAACACCACAGUGACCUGGAGUGUGCAGCCAGAUGGAAACAUCUUCCACAAGAAAAGAAAGGAUGACCUGUAAUGGCUAAAUGCUCACCUUUUCAUAUAGAUUUAAAUUAGACCUAAAACUUAUUAGAUAUACAACC
Long non-coding RNA from Clarias gariepinus (North African catfish), 362 nucleotides. RefSeq lists it as uncharacterized. The transcript has 3 exons. The record is from RefSeq and is a predicted model, not a curated record. NCBI's taxonomy places the organism in Eukaryota, Metazoa, Chordata, Actinopteri, Siluriformes, Clariidae.